This is a non-coding RNA of Trichomalopsis sarcophagae, 74 nucleotides long. Lineage: Eukaryota; Metazoa; Arthropoda; Insecta; Hymenoptera; Pteromalidae. The record is from Rfam.
GUAAACGUUAGCUCAGUGGUUAGAGCACAGGCCUCUGGCUCUCGGGCCCGCAAGUUCGAGUCCCGUCGUUUACA